Molecule: transfer RNA, 73 nt
Filed under: Desulfuribacillus alkaliarsenatis
Lineage: Bacteria; Bacillati; Bacillota; Desulfuribacillia; Desulfuribacillales; Desulfuribacillaceae
Description: low GC Gram-positive bacterium strain AHT28 tRNA
Rfam family: tRNA
About the family: Transfer RNA (tRNA) molecules are approximately 80 nucleotides in length. Their secondary structure includes four short double-helical elements and three loops (D, anti-codon, and T loops).
Source: Rfam by way of RNAcentral
GGGCGCAUAGCUCAGCUGGGAGAGCACUACCUCGACAAGGUAGGGGUCAGCGGUUCGAGCCCGUUUGCGCCCA